UACAGAGGGUGCGAGCGUUGUCCGGAAUCACUGGGCGUAAAGGGCGCGUAGGUGGCUGGGUAAGUGUGCGGUGAAAGCCCGGGGCUCAACCCCGGGUCUGCCGUGCAGACUGCUUGGCUCGAGCAUAGUAGAGGCACGUGGAAUUCCGGGUGUAGCGGUGGAAUGCGUAGAGAUCCGGAAGAACACCGGUGGCGAAGGCGGCGUGCUGGGCUAUUGCUGACACUGAGGCGCGACAGCGUGGGGAGCAAACAGG
RNAcentral lists this ribosomal RNA (253 nucleotides) under uncultured prokaryote. RNAcentral describes it as "partial 16S ribosomal RNA". It matches the Rfam family "Bacterial small subunit ribosomal RNA", at positions 524 to 776 of the family's 1533-position model. The record is from RNAcentral.